Molecule: long non-coding RNA, 216 nt
Organism: Alligator sinensis (Chinese alligator)
Lineage: Eukaryota; Metazoa; Chordata; Crocodylia; Alligatoridae
Exons: 4
Source: RefSeq, a predicted model, not a curated record
CAAAAUUGGGUGCGUCAUAUUUACUACUCUUCACCACUUCCAUCUACAAGGAGAAACUCCAAGACAAAAUACAAGAGGUUCAUGAUGGGUCCAAUCCAGUCAGGAGAUGUCAGGAGUCCAUGGCUCUGCUUCAGCACGGCAUUCUCCCUGGCUACGGCUUUGUGACUGCCACUUCUCUGGCUCAGUGUGGCUUUGCACUGGCUCUGUUCAUCUUUC